AGUGAACGCUGGCGGCGUGCCUAAUACAUGCAAGUCGAACGAAGUGGCGCACGGGUGAGUAAUAUAUAGUUAAUCUGCCCUACACAGAGGAACAACAGUUGGAAACGACUGCUAAUACCUCAUAGUGUAGGAUGAGGCUAUAUCGUAUCAGCUAGUUGGUAAGGUAAUGGCUUACCAAGGCUAUGACGCGUAACUGGUCUGAGAGGAUGAUCAGACACAUUGGAAGUGGGACACAGUCCAAACUCCUUCGGGAGGGAGCAGGAAGGGAUAGUGCGCAAUGGGGGGAACCCUGACGCAGCAACGGCGCGUGGAGGAUGACACUUGUCGGGACGUAAACUCCUUUUAUCAGGAAAGCGGUACCUGAUGAAUAAGCACCGGCUAACUCCGUGCCAGCAGCCGCGGUAAUUC
This 408-nucleotide ribosomal RNA is filed under the name uncultured bacterium. RNAcentral describes it as "partial 16S ribosomal RNA". It matches the Rfam family "Bacterial small subunit ribosomal RNA", at positions 29 to 526 of the family's 1533-position model. The record is from RNAcentral.